RNAcentral lists this long non-coding RNA (2106 nucleotides) under Callithrix jacchus (white-tufted-ear marmoset). RNAcentral describes it as "lncRNA (ENSCJAG00000069669.1)". Lineage: Eukaryota; Metazoa; Chordata; Mammalia; Primates; Cebidae. The record is from RNAcentral.
AUGAAGAUCACGCAGACUGGUUGUCGAAGGAAUAGCAGCUUCCACUUCCUAUCUCUUGGAACACUCAAUCAUGGAGAAGUCAGCCACCAUACAAGAAGUCUGACUGCACUAAAAUCACCCUGCUGUGAGAAAAGUCAGGUUUACUAUGAAGAGAGAAAGACGCCCAGCCAUCCCAGGCUGCUCUAGCCAACCCUGCCCAGGCACCGUUUGCCCAGGCCUCACCUGCUUUCUCACAUCUGCAAAGCAGAGCUCAAAGUGAAGGGCAAUCACCUGAGCCCAAGCAACCUACAGAACUAUAAGAAAUCAAUUUUGUGUUCACUUGCUUUUGUUUGUUUGCUUUUUGAGAUGGAGUCUCACUCUGUUGCUCAGGCUAGAGUACAGUGGCAUGAUCUGGGCUCACUAUAACCUCCACCUCCCAGGUUCAAGCGAUUCCAGCCUCAGUCUCCUGAGUAGCUGGGACUACAAGCAUGCACCACCAUGCUUGGCUAAUUUUUGCAUUUUUAGUAGAGAUGGGGUUUCACCAUGUUGGCUAGGCUGGUCUUGAACUCCUGACCUCAAGUGAUCUGCUCAGCCUCCUAAAGUGCCAGGAUUACAGGUGUGAGCCACUGCACCCAGCCCAAUUUUUAAAUUAUUUUAAACAACUAAAUAUUUGGAUGGCUAAUUAUACAGCGUUUCAUUUCAUUGCCAACUUAGUGUAACAACACGAACAGAGUGACUGAGUGUACUGCAAUUCGUUUCGGACACUAACCAACCAGAGCUGGCACAGACUCCACAAGUCAAGGACUUUGUCCUUCACAAGACAGCUCGCACUUCAGACACCAGCUAUAAGCUUCAGGGGAUCCCAGGCCACUCAUACUCUAACUGGAUGCAAAUUUGAGAGUUCCCACAACCAUUUCAGGUUUGAUAAUUCACCAGAAUGACUCACAGAACUCAGAAACAUGCUAUAUAUGAAAUAAUAGUUUUAUUGUGAAGAAUACACAUAGGUAUCAAGAUAUUAAAAAACAGUGAAAAAUUUAAAAACUAAAAGAUUACAUAGGCCAAGGUCUGGGAGGGAACACAGAGCUUCACUGCCCUUCCCUGGAGGAGUCAGGGAGCAUCACCCUCCCAGCACUUCACUGUAUUCACCAGCCGGGAAGCUCCUCCAAACCUAGGUGUCCAGAGCUUUUAUUGAGGUCUCAUUAUGAAGGCAUGAUUGAUUAAACCCUUGGCCAUAUGACUGACCCCAAUCUCUGGUUCUUCUCCCUGGAUAGUGUCCCCAAAUCCAAUAGCCAUAUGUUAAGUUUUCCAAGUCAUUUUUAAAUCCUCUUACUUGACUUGAGGUGAGACUCUCUCCAAAAUAGUGUGAAUCAGCCAACCCUGGACAGACCAGUUUUGAACAAUUCCUAUUGCAAGCCCUGCAUGAUGGUGUCUAUUGUUAGUUUCUCAGCCACUUGGGUCUCUUCGGAACUUUUCAAUUGCAUUUUAGGUUCCAUUCCACAAUGCUUAACAAAAUACAAAAAGGUCUCUGUUUUCAUGGAUUUUAGUGCCUACUAAGAGAUAGCGAUAGUAAAUAACACAAAAAAAUACAUAAUUGGAAACAAUGUUGAGUCUUAUAAAGGAAAGAUUCACUAGAUGUGAUAGACUUUGGUGGCCUCAGUGAAUCAUGCCUUCAGGUAUUUUGCCCUCGAGUAAUCUCCUUUCAUGUUGACACUGGGUUUGGCCAUACAAUUAACUUUCACCAUUGGGACAUUCCAAACAUAGUGUAAGCAGAAGUUUGAUGAACUUGCACAUAGGAUUAAGCCUCUUGUAAUGCACUUUCUUAGAAUCCAGUUGCCAGCCUGGGGAGGAAGCCCAAGCAGCCACAUAAGAGGUCCACAUAAGAGUUAACCAAGGAGCCUAGCCAAAAACCCCCACUGAGCUCCCAGUAGGUGGCCAGCUUGAUAUACCAGACUUGUGACCUUGCAGCUAUCUCAGCACCCCAACUGACACAACACCCCGUGAACCAGAACCACCUGAUUAACUGAUACGGUUUGACACUGUGUCCCGACCCAAAUCUGCCAAUCUGAGAUCUCCAAUGUUGGGGAAGGGACCUGGUGGGGUAUGAUUGGAUCACAAGGGCGAAUUUCC